UGGUGGAGUGAUUUGUCUGGUUAAUUCCGUUAACGAACGAGACCCCUGCCUGCUAAAUAGUCCUUUGAGUGAUUUUCACUGAUUUGGGCUUCUUAGAGGGACGUGCAUUUUUAUUAGAUGCAGGAAGAUAGGGGCAAUAACA
RNAcentral lists this ribosomal RNA (142 nucleotides) under uncultured eukaryote. RNAcentral describes it as "partial 18S ribosomal RNA". It matches the Rfam family "Eukaryotic small subunit ribosomal RNA", at positions 1299 to 1458 of the family's 1831-position model. The record is from RNAcentral.